RNAcentral lists this transfer RNA (72 nucleotides) under Camelus bactrianus (Bactrian camel). It matches the Rfam family "tRNA". Rfam says of the family: Transfer RNA (tRNA) molecules are approximately 80 nucleotides in length. RNAcentral also lists the same sequence under 1 other name. The record is from Rfam by way of RNAcentral. Lineage: Eukaryota; Metazoa; Chordata; Mammalia; Artiodactyla; Camelidae.
GAGGGUAGAGCUCAGUGGGAGAGCGCAUGCUUAGCAUGCAUGAGGUCCUGGGUUCAAUUCCCAGUACCUCCA